GUCCCUGUAGCUUAAACCAAAGCAUGGUACUGAAGAUGCCAAGAUGGACCUUUUUCCCAAGGACA
This 65-nucleotide transfer RNA is filed under the name Amazona guildingii. RNAcentral's name for it is "tRNA-Phe". The record is from RNAcentral. Lineage: Eukaryota; Metazoa; Chordata; Aves; Psittaciformes; Psittacidae.